CAGUCGAACGCCCCGCAAGGGGAGUGGCGGACGGGUGAGUAACGCGUGGGAAUUUUCCUCAAGGUACGGAACAACUCAGGGAAACUUGGGCUAAUACCGUAUGAUGCAGCGAUGCCAAAGAUUUAUCGCCUUGGGAUAAGCCCGCGUCAGAUUAGGUAGUUGGUGGGGUAACGGCCUACCAAGCCUGCGAUCUGUAGCUGGUCUGAGAGGACGAUCAGCCACAUUGGGACUGAGACACGGCCCAAACUCCUACGGGAGGCAGCAGUGGGGAAUCUUGCGCAAUGGGCGAAAGCCUGACGCAGCCAUGCCGCGUGAAUGAUGAAGGUCUUAGGAUUGUAAAGUUCUUUAGCCUGUGACGAUGAUGACGGUAACAGGAGAAUAAGCCCCGGCUAACUUCGUGCCAGCAGCCGCGGUGAUACGAAGGGGGCUAGCGUUGUUCGGAAUUACUGGGCGUAAAGCGCGCGUAGGCGGUUUUACAAGCCAGAGGUGAAAUGCCUGAGCUUAACUUGGGAAUUGCCUUUGGAACUGUAUGACUUCGAGGACGAGAGAGGUGAGUGGAAUUCCCAGUGUAGAGGUGAAAUUCGUAGAUAUUGGGAAGAACACCGGUGGCGAAGGCGGCUCACUGGCUCGUUUCUGACGCUGCAGCGCGAAAGCGUGGGGAUCAAACAGGAUUAGAUACCCUGGUAGUCCACGCUGUAAACGAUGAGUGCUAGGCGUCGGCACGCUUGCGUGUCGGUGCCGCAGCUAACGCGUGAAGCACUCCGCCUGGGGAGUACGGUCGCAAGAUUAAAACUCAAAGGAAUUGACGG
RNAcentral lists this ribosomal RNA (809 nucleotides) under uncultured bacterium. RNAcentral's name for it is "bacterial SSU rRNA". It matches the Rfam family "Bacterial small subunit ribosomal RNA", at positions 59 to 916 of the family's 1533-position model. The record is from RNAcentral.